Long non-coding RNA from Odontomachus brunneus, 901 nucleotides. RefSeq lists it as uncharacterized. The record is from RefSeq and is a predicted model, not a curated record. Lineage: Eukaryota; Metazoa; Arthropoda; Insecta; Hymenoptera; Formicidae. The transcript is spliced from 3 exons.
CCUAAAAAUUUUAGAGGACAGAAUAAUAAUAAUUUGUCUUGUUGCGUUGCGUCACGGUGAAGCAAAAUAUCCUUCUCAGUCUCUUGGCGUCCAGUCAGCUGAACAUCUUUCCAAGUCUAUAACCUGAUUCUCCUUAUACUUAAAGUGUGUAAAAUAUAUGUCCAGCAUGCUGAACUGUUGAUUGACGAUUGGAAAAUUUGUCUUAACAUUUUUAAAGUCUGACGGUUGGCUGCACAGCAAAGUAUAAAAAAUUAAGAAUUCUGAAAAAAAUACUUUCGUAUUCUAGUAAUCCUUAAAGUUAAGAGAAAUGUCUUGCGAAUCCAUUUUCUACACAAUAAUUGUUUUUUUGGAACUAUACGACAGUCACUGGAUCCAGAUGUACAAUUUCUUUCUCCAGAUGCCUUAAGACUGAGGAGAAUAUAUAAUCGAUUCGAUGCAUUCAUAUGUAACUCAAAAUAACACUAUUAAGAUAAGGGAAUAAUAAUAAAAUAUAAAUUUUCUUGCUCACUUUUAUCAUUUCUGGUUUAUAUAAGCAAAUUAAUGGCCGCGGUCCUGCCCAAAAUAAAAAAAUUCCAUCUUUAAACUUGUCCAAUUGCGACAUAAACCACUGUAUACGAUCUACGGUGAGGCAAUUGAUUAAUGUAACGCCCGCUGUGUUCCUUUUGUAUAUUUAUAUAAAUGAAAAUGUAGAAGAUAACGUCCCAAUUAAAGGAAAAGAAACGAGCCCGGGAAUGUGGCUGAGCUUUUUCCGCAUGAUAUAAUCUUCAUAAAACAACACUGCGAUCUUAUACAGUAAAAUAACAGCAACAGAUAUUGCCAAUAAGUAGAAAAUCGCCAUCGUCGCGAGCAGAGGUUACAAUUACAAAUAAUUUACUUUGUAUACAGAUAGCUUAUAUAUAAA